UACAUGCAAGUCGAACGAAGUAGCAAUACUUAGUGGCAGACGGGUGAGUAACAUGUGGGUAUCUUCCCUUUGGUGAGGAAUAACACGAGGAAACUUGUGCUAAUACCUCAUAAGUCUUUACGGAGAAAGCUUUAUGCGCCAUUGGAUGAGCCUGCACUUGAUUAGUUUGUUGGUGGGGUAAUGGCCUACCAAGACUUUGAUCAAUAGCUGAUUUGAGAGGAUGAUCAGCCACAUUGGGACUGAGACACGGCCCAAACUCCUACGGGAGGCAGCAGUAGGGAAUCUUGCACAAUGGAGGAAACUCUGAUGCAGCGAUGCCGCGUGAGUGAAGAAGGCCUUUGGGUUGUAAAGCUCUUUCGUCGGGGAAGAAAAUGACUGUACCCGAAUAAGAAGGUCCGGCUAACUUCGUGCCAGCAGCCGCGGUAAUACGAAGGGACCUAGCGUAGUUCGGAAUUACUGGGCUUAAAGAGUUCGUAGGUGGUUAAAAAAGUUGGUGGUGAAAGCCCAGAGCUUAACUCUGGAACGGCCAUCAAAACUUUUUAGCUAGAGUUUGAUAGAGGAAAGCAGAAUUUCUAGUGUAGAGGUGAAAUUCGUAGAUAUUAGAAAGAAUACCAAUUGCGAAGGCAGCUUUCUGGAUCAUUACUGACACUGAGGAACGAAAGCAUGGGUAGCGAAGAGGAUUAGAUACCCUCGUAGUCCAUGCCGUAAACGAUGUGUGUUAGAUGUUGGAAAUUUAUUUUCAGUAUCGCAGCGAAAGCAAUAAACACACCGCCUGGGGAGUAC
This 783-nucleotide ribosomal RNA is filed under the name uncultured Pelagibacteraceae bacterium. RNAcentral describes it as "bacterial SSU rRNA". It matches the Rfam family "Bacterial small subunit ribosomal RNA", at positions 52 to 883 of the family's 1533-position model. Lineage: Bacteria; Pseudomonadati; Pseudomonadota; Alphaproteobacteria; Candidatus Pelagibacterales; Candidatus Pelagibacteraceae. The record is from RNAcentral.